CAGCCGCCGCGGGAAAACGAAGGGUGCAAGCGUUAAUCGGAAUUACUGGGCGUAAAGCGUGCGUAGGCGGUUUGUUAAGUCUGUUGUGAAAUCCCCGAGCUUAACUUGGGAACUGCAUUUGAAACUGGCAAGCUAGAGUCUUGUAGAGGGGGGUAGAAUUCCAGGUGUAGCGGUGAAAUGCGUAGAGAUCGGGAGGAACAUCAGUGGCGAAGGCGGCCAUCUGGGACAACACUGACGCUGAGGCACGAAAGCGUGGGGAGCAAACAGGAUUAGAUACCCCCGUAGUCCAUGUCUCUUAUCC
This 301-nucleotide ribosomal RNA is filed under the name uncultured bacterium. RNAcentral's name for it is "partial 16S ribosomal RNA". It matches the Rfam family "Bacterial small subunit ribosomal RNA", at positions 509 to 809 of the family's 1533-position model. The record is from RNAcentral.